AUUGAACGCUGGCGGCAUGCCUUACACAUGCAAGUCGAACGGCAGCACGGGGCAACCUGGUGGCGAGUGGCGAACGGGUGAGUAAUGCAUCGGAACGUGCCAUUGAGUGGGGGAUAACGUAGCGAAAGUUGCGCUAAUACCGCAUAUUCUGUGAGCAGGAAAGCAGGGGGACCGCAAGGCCUUGCGCUCUUUGAGCGGCCGAUGUCAGAUUAGCUAGUUGGUGAGGUAACGGCUUACCAAGGCGACGAUCUGUAGCGGGUCUGAGAGGAUGAUCCGCCACACUGGAACUGAGACACGGUCCAGACUCCUACGGAGGCAGCAGUGGGAAUUUGGACAAUGGGCGCAAGCCUGAUCCAGCCAUGCCGCGUGAGUGAAGAAGG
This 380-nucleotide ribosomal RNA is filed under the name uncultured bacterium. RNAcentral's name for it is "bacterial SSU rRNA". It matches the Rfam family "Bacterial small subunit ribosomal RNA", at positions 30 to 414 of the family's 1533-position model. The record is from RNAcentral.